CCAUCCUGCCAGCACAGCACAUCACAUUGCUCCGCCUCGGGGAGGAAGUAGGGCGGCGGUUACUUGUCCCGCUCCAACUACAAAGCCCAGACUGCCCAGUCCGCAUCCCCAGCAGCCGUGACACCGCCACAGCAGCCUCGGCGCUGCGUUUCUGCCUUCCCGGUGAGACAAAUGGCCGCCAGCGCCACCGACGCCGACGCCGGCGCCGGGCUCAGAUCGGAGUUCCUGCAGGUCCUGCUCAGCCGCCGCCGCGAUCUCCUAGUGCCUCUCACGGUGGAGCAAGGGAGUCCGGUGAAGGACCCGAUGUACCAGAAUCCUCCGUCGACCAUGGAGGCAAAUCCGAUGGAGUCGUGCCCCAGUAAAGAGGUGGAGAACUUGAGGGAGAAGCUGGUUGAAGAAAAUUUCUACCUUAUCACUGAGCUAGGUGAACAAGGACGAGUACCUGUACUUCUGCUGAAGCUUGACGACCCCGUCCCUAGAAGAAAACCAGCUAUCGUGUUCCUGCACAGCUCUUACAAGUGCAAAGAGUGGCUGCGCCCACUGCUUGAGGCAUAUGCUUCCAAGGGCUACGUCUGUGUGGCUAUUGACUCGCGCUAUCACGGCGAAAGGGCCAGCAAUGAAACCACUUACAUAGAUGCACUGAAAUCGGCUUGGCGGAAUGGGGAUACAAUGCCUUUCGUUUUUGACACGGUGUGGGACUUGGUAAAGCUUGGAGACUACCUCGGCGAGAGGGAGGACGUGGAUCCCUGUAGGGUUGGGAUCACCGGCGAAUCGCUGGGAGGGAUGCACGCGUGGUUUGCUGCUUUUGUGGACACACGGUACAGUGUCGUCGUUCCUAUCAUCGGUGUUCAGGGAUUCAGGUGGGCCAUUGACAACAACAUGUGGCUGGCUAGGGUGAAUAGCAUAAGGCCUUUAUUUGAAGAAGCAAGAAUUGACUUAGGAAAGAGCGAAUUAGAUACAGAAGUUGUUGAAAGGGUUUGGGAAAAGAUAGCACCAGGCCUGGACUCGCAAUUUGAUGCCCCCUAUUCACUUCCUUUGCUUGCACCACGGCCGUUGCUACUUCUAAAUGGCGCUGAAGAUCCUCGUUGCCCAAUAAGUGGUUUAGGAGAAGCUAUUUCAAAAACUGCUAAAGCUUACGAAGAAUCUGGUUGCGCGGAGAAGUUCAUGGGGGGUUUCGUCGCUGACCAGAUGACCUCGUCGUGGCAUGCGGUGAGCAUCGGCGUUGGCGCGUGGCACGUUGCCACACGUGUGGCGGCCGCAGUGGCAGCGGAGGCGAUGGCCACCUGGUGACCUCUGGAUGGACGGUGAGGAAGUGGAGGAGUAUACCGUUGCGCCCAUCGAAGAUGGUCCAGGCGUAAUAGUGGAGGAGGAUGCCGUAGUAGUGGAGAAUGCCGUUGGGACUAUGGAAUGGAAGACGCGCCGAGGCAGAGUAGAACCCAGUGCGGGACAGUUGAGGAUGGUAGAUGACGACCAUCGGUGGUGUCGCCUAGCUGCAGUGAUGCUCUCGUCGCACGAUGCGGCGGGCCGCGGGGGAGAGAUGGCUAUGCAUCCUGGUGGUUUACCUCUAGAUUUGCAUAUUUCUAUUUCUAUAUAUUAAAGCGGGGAGGAUUCCUGCAAAGCUACGAUGUCCACGUCAACUUAUAAAACGUCAGCCGUUCGAUGGUGCCUCAACGACAAGGGAAGCACAACACUGAAGGGACUCAAAGCGCAGCGACCAGAAUAUCUUUUUCGCAGAUAUUGUUCACAAUUCCGCUCAUCACCAGAUGCGUCGGGAGACUUCUAGGCUGUCUUUACAUUCUAUAUAUUAAAGCGGGGAGGAUUCCUGCAAAGCUACGAUGUCCACGUCAACUUAUAAAACGUCAGCCGUUCGAUGGUGCCUCAACGACAAGGGAAGCACAACACUGAAGGGACUCAAAGCGCAGCGACCAGAAUAUCUUUUUCGCAGAUAUUGUUCACAAUUCCGCUCAUCACCAGAUGCGUCGGGAGACUUCUAGGCUGUCUUUACAUACGAAUGGACUCUAGCGAACAGAAGUGCCUGUGAGCAUUGUCGUUUCUCCAAAAAGGAUGACACCUUCAAUGUUCGCGACAAUCCAACAGCGACGGCGAGGAACCUUUGGCCCUCCGGAAAGGACCCGGAGUCUGAAGUUGUUUAGGUCGGGUUUGGAUCUCCUCUGUCUUCCUCGGUUGGCUUUUUCCUGUAUCAUAUUUAUCAAGUCUUUACAUUUUAGUAUCCUUUGUUUCCGAUUUCCCAAAGUUCAUUGCAGAGCCUGGAGUCGGCCAUAAAAUCACAAUCGACAUGGUGAAGGCAGCAAGCGAAUGGUUCGAUCGCUUCCUGCAUGCAUGAAUGCAAAAGUUAUUGUCGCCCAUCAUUUGUUCUAUAUCGAUUGUGAUUUGUCAACAGCAUCCCUUAGUUGAAGUAUUUAUGUCCUCGUCUGUGUACCUUGGUAAUUGCCGGUCGGACAAACAUCUCUAUCUCUAUUUAUUAUAUUAGGAUACGUUUGGUUGCUGGACAAAUGAGGGCAGAAUAGAAUGGCUCCUAAGUUGGGAAUGGAAUGAUUCCUCAUAUUAUUUGGUUGGAAGGAUGAGAUGAUCCUUGUUUUUUGUUUGGUUAGAGAUAUAACUGGGGAUAGAUUGUUCAUGUCCUUUGUUUGGUUCGAGAACCUUACUAUGAUAUGCUAGUUGAUCAUUUAACGAUUUGAA
Zea mays is the source of this 2700-nucleotide RNA transcript. RefSeq lists it as uncharacterized. The transcript is spliced from 15 exons. NCBI's taxonomy places the organism in Eukaryota, Viridiplantae, Streptophyta, Magnoliopsida, Poales, Poaceae. The record is from RefSeq and is marked validated.